CAAGGGGUCACACACACUACGAUCUGACAACGAUUCUGACAACGAAACCGGAGUUGUUUAUUUGAAGAUGUACGUAGGAUAGAAACAAGCGGUGCGAGCUGUUUGUGCUGAAGAAACCCCAAAAAGGAAAACACAAAGAAAGUGGGUGAAAGAAUGGAUUAGCAGAAGCAGGCAGCAGGUGUGCUACAGAGAGAGUUGGAGUGGAGUCCACUGGUUCCAACCCCCAGUCCAGGAGAACCCCAUGUCCUAAUAACCCACUGGAUCAGGCUAACGAUGAUGCAUGCUUCAUUUGUAAUGAAGAAGGAGUUCUGGUGCACUGUAAAGAAUGUCCACGAGCUUUUCACCAUCGCUGCCACUUACCAAUACCACAGGAUGAAACAUCUAGGGACAACUGGAAGUGCACAUUCUGUGUGUUAAAGGCUAACCAGCAAUUGCAGAUGCAAAUGAGAAGGAAGGAAAUUUUAAACAGUCCUGUUUCUAAAAACAAGCUGGUACACAGACACACCUUCACACACUUGCAUAUACACACACAUACUAUAGUGCUUGAAUGUUUG
This is a long non-coding RNA of Ictalurus punctatus (channel catfish), 554 nucleotides long. RefSeq lists it as uncharacterized. The record is from RefSeq and is a predicted model, not a curated record. NCBI's taxonomy places the organism in Eukaryota, Metazoa, Chordata, Actinopteri, Siluriformes, Ictaluridae. The transcript is spliced from 4 exons.